UUUCGCAAUGCCCGAAAGGGUGACGAAGCGACGCCGCGUGAGCGAAGAAGGCCCUAGGGUUGUAAAGCUCUGUCGGGGGUUAUGAAAUGUAGAUGGGAUAAUACCUCAUUUAUUUGACAAAGGCCCCAAAGGAAGCCACGGCUAACUCUGUGCCAGCAGCCGCGGUAAUACAGAGGUGGCGAGCGUUGUUCGGUAUUAUUGGGCGUAAAGAGCACGUAGGUGGUUUUGUAAGUCAGGUGUGAAAGCCUUCUAUUCAAAGGAAGAACGGCAUCUGAAACUGCAGAUCUUGAGUGUAGGAGGGGAGAGUGGAACUUCUGGUGGAGCGGUGAAAUGCGUAGAUAUCAGAAGGAACGUCGGCGGCGAAAGCGACUCUCUGGCCUAUUACUGACACUGAGUGUGCGAAAGUUAGGGGAGCAAACGGGAUUAGAUACCCCGGUAGUCCUAACCGUAAACGAUGGGCACUAAGUAGAGGGGUUUUA
RNAcentral lists this ribosomal RNA (479 nucleotides) under uncultured anaerobic ammonium-oxidizing bacterium. Its description in RNAcentral is "bacterial SSU rRNA". It matches the Rfam family "Bacterial small subunit ribosomal RNA", at positions 364 to 833 of the family's 1533-position model. The record is from RNAcentral.